CCGAUAAUCUUCUCUGAUCGUAAGCUUUAGCUUCUGUUAUCCAAUCCGUUAGCCUUGGUUACUCAAGGUAGUCGGUUCCUGUUGGUAGAUUAGGGUUAAUUUCUACAGAUCGACCGCAUCUCUUGCGGGUCUCUUCGUUCCAAUCAAGGUAUUAAUCAUUUUUGUUUCUUAUUUUUUUCACUGCCUCCAGAGUUUUGAGAGAGUAAAUUUCACCACACCAAGUUAUAUGGGAGAACAGAGACAAAGAUGAGUCAACUAAUAUAAUGCACAAUGAUGAGUUAAGUUACAGAUAAGGGUUCGAUUUCUGCUACACCUUUACAUCCUCCUUGUAGUAAUGGUAUUUCACAACUUCGUUCUCGU
This 360-nucleotide long non-coding RNA is filed under the name Linum usitatissimum (flax). RNAcentral describes it as "long non-coding RNA (LUSI_LNC005052)". Lineage: Eukaryota; Viridiplantae; Streptophyta; Magnoliopsida; Malpighiales; Linaceae. The record is from RNAcentral.